Molecule: transfer RNA, 93 nt
Filed under: Pseudogymnoascus destructans
Lineage: Eukaryota; Fungi; Ascomycota; Leotiomycetes; Thelebolales; Thelebolaceae
Description: partial tRNA-Leu
Rfam family: tRNA
About the family: Transfer RNA (tRNA) molecules are approximately 80 nucleotides in length. Their secondary structure includes four short double-helical elements and three loops (D, anti-codon, and T loops).
Source: RNAcentral
GGCAACUUGGCCGAGCGGUUAAGGCGCUAGUUUCAGGUUAUCAUGUGACUUACUAGUUCGAAAGAGCGAGAGUUCGAAUCUCUCAGUUGUCAU